Molecule: long non-coding RNA, 667 nt
Organism: Pecten maximus
Lineage: Eukaryota; Metazoa; Mollusca; Bivalvia; Pectinida; Pectinidae
Exons: 3
Source: RefSeq, a predicted model, not a curated record
UAGGUCUAAGUCGUCUCUGAAGUAGGCCUUCGACUGAAUGACAUCCAGAAGAUUGAUUGGUGCAAACGAAGUCUUAUAAACGCUUGAAUUGCCUGAACGUACAUGUUUGAAAAUAAGACUAUCGUGCGUUGCUUCUUUCCGUAAUUUGUUCAUGCAGGUAAUAUGCAGCAGACAACAAACCGGAAGUUGAUUUGUUUAUACAUUUAUACUCCGAGGAUGUCUGUCGACUAGAAACUGUUUGAUGCAGUAGAAACAAUGCAUUGUUCCAGCAUACACAGGACAAGGAAUCAGUCCGUCGACAAAAGGGCUGGUUGGUAACCAUCAAGGUCAAUGCAAUUUACUUGGACGUAUACACAUACCAUUGAUGAGAUGGACAAAUCAUGAACAUUUUGGAAUAGAUACGAUAACUUGAUAAACAAUUGACUCUCAUAUACAUUGUAACACUGGCGAUCUGGUGACAGGAGGGAAUUCGUUAUCAGUGUUUAAACAAUUUUGUCAUGAAAUUCAUUUCUCCAUUGGCAACCGAUCAACAAUAUGAGAUUGCAAGCGACGAGAUUGUGUUCCUGUGUUGAGCUGUCAAUCUACAAAGAGAAAUGUAGGACCAUGAUCAGUAUCGAACAAGACUGAUGUUCCAAGGAAAUGAUGAAUAUUUGAAAUAAUAACCAAA